Molecule: long non-coding RNA, 1630 nt
Organism: Eucalyptus grandis
Lineage: Eukaryota; Viridiplantae; Streptophyta; Magnoliopsida; Myrtales; Myrtaceae
Exons: 2
Source: RefSeq, a predicted model, not a curated record
AAACACUCGAUGUGCACUUUGAGGGCUAUAUCUAACCCUUCAUUGUAAACAUUGGCAUUGGUGAAGUCAUGGUUUCUGCAUUCUGCUGAGAGUGAUCUCCCUUUCGGGAGCUUGAGCUCACAAGCUGUGGGCUGCACCCUCCAGCGAGAAAAUCCCAUGUACGAGGUGCACGAGCCCAAAACGGGCGUUUACAAGGACGGGGAAGAACUCUUGGGGCAAGAUUUGGACCCCGGUGUUACCUCGUCACAGAGGGGGCCAGCGACGAUGCCACAAAAGUUUGGCUGGUAAAAAACUCGCGGGGCAAGUUUUGGUGCCAUCGCCAGUGGCCCUCUAUCCGACGACAGUAACACCGUGGUCCAAAUAGGUCCCGCAAGCUCUGGUGAAGACGCUGCUGGAGUAGAACUGGAACUCGAAUCCCCCGGCGUUGAUGGCCACGGAAACUGGUUGAUUUGCGACUGCCUUUUGCAAUGCCUUCUCGCUAUUGGCGGGACUGACUUCACAGCUCUUUAUGUUUGCGGCGGGGUGCGAUGCCGAUCGACAUCGCAUUCACUGUCCAUACCUGCGCGUGGAUAGUUCAUAUCGGUUGUGAGGUUGUGCUUCUUGAUGAACUGGAAUGCGCUAUCCAUGUAGCCGCCUUCGCAUCCUUGGUCCUGGCCACCGAUGUCGCAGUCGACCAACUCCUGCUCAGAGAGAGAAAUCAAUUUUCCAGUGGUUAUUCUGUGAAUGCCCUCCACAGCCACUGUGCUCCUACGAGGCCGCAUCUUUCAAGUACAGAAACGUCACCACAGCGCCUUCUAGCAUGGAUUGGAGAAGGAAGGGAUCCGUGAUGCCGAUUAAGAACCAAGGCGAAUGUGGACUGUCGUUCCUGUUUUCGUUGCAAAAACGUAGGAUCUUGCUGGGAAUUUUCAGCGGUGGCUGCUGUGGAAGGAAUUCACCAAAUAACCAUGGCGAAAUUGAUUUCUCUCUCCGAGCAAGAGUUGGUCAAUUGUGACAGUCGGUGGCCAGGACCAAGGAUGCGAAGGCGGCUAUAUGGAUAGCGCAUUCCAGUUCAUCGAGAAGCACGAACUCACAACCAAGACGAACUAUCCCUACACAGGCGUGGAUGGCGAAUGCAAUGUCGAAUCGGCAUCGCACCCACCACGAACAUAAAGGGCUAUGAAGACGUUCACGCCAACAGCAAGAAGGCAUUGCGAAAGGCGGUCGCCAAUCAGCCAGUUUCUGUGGCCAUUGAAGCCGGAGGAUUCGAGUUCUAGUUCUGCUCCAGCAGCGUCUUCACCAGAGCUAGCAGGACCAAUUUGGACCACGAUGUUACCGCCAUCGAAUAUGGGGCCAGCGACGAUGGCACCAAAUUUUGGCUGGUGAAGAACUCGUGGGGCCAGGCAUGGAGCGAAGGGUGUUACAUAUGGAUGCAGUGCGAUGUUGGAGCAAGGGAAGGCCUCUGCGGCAUAGCCAUGAACGCCUCUUAUCCUACUGCAUGAUGUAAAUACAUUUUUACGUGAUGUGUUUAUUGCAUACUGACAUCUCGUUAAGUAAUCAAGUACAUCUAUAUGCCGAGUGAUUGGAAUGUAAUAUCGAAAUUUCAUAUAUCUGCAAACCUAGGUUGCUUGCUUAGCUCUACAUAUAGAGCAAA